This 253-nucleotide ribosomal RNA is filed under the name uncultured bacterium. Its description in RNAcentral is "partial 16S ribosomal RNA". It matches the Rfam family "Bacterial small subunit ribosomal RNA", at positions 524 to 776 of the family's 1533-position model. The record is from RNAcentral.
UACAGAGGUCCCAAGCGUUGUUCGGAUUCACUGGGCGUAAAGGGUGCGUAGGCGGGACCGUAAGUCCGAGAGGAAAUCUCAAGGCUCAACUUUGGGGCUUUCUUGGAUACUGCGGUUCUUGAGGAUGAGAGAGGUAAGCAGAAUUCCCGGUGUAGCGGUGAAAUGCGUAGAUAUCGGGAGGAAUACCAGUGGCGAAGGCGGCUUACUGGCUCAUUCCUGACGCUGAGGAGCGAAAGCGUGGGGAGCAAACGGG